CUAACUUCGUAAUUCAUUUAUCAUAUCAAAUGACAAUCACAUUGUUCAAGAUUAAAAGUAAUUAGAAUCCCCUAAGGAUCAAUCAUAAAGAUUUAGCCAAAUAUGUUCAAAUAAGAAAUUACAUUAACAUGAGUGAAAGAAAUCAUCAUUACAAGAAGGGAUCAGAUGUGUUUCCACCCUUGAAUCCUUGCUUGAAUGCCUCUUUGAUCCUCUGAAAUCGCCGUCAAAAAGCAGUUCUUGAUCCAGAAUUUCGU
RNAcentral lists this long non-coding RNA (254 nucleotides) under Trifolium pratense (red clover). RNAcentral describes it as "long non-coding RNA (TPRA_LNC003322)". Lineage: Eukaryota; Viridiplantae; Streptophyta; Magnoliopsida; Fabales; Fabaceae. The record is from RNAcentral.